AUUGAACGCUGGCGGAAUGCUUUACACUUGCAAGUCGAACGGCAGCACGGACUUCGGUCUGGUGGCGAGUGGCGAACGGGUGAGUAAUGUAUCGGAACGUGCCCAGUCGUGGGGGAUAACGUAGUGAAAAUUACGCUAAUACCGCAUACGAUCUAUGGAUGAAAGCGGGGGAUCGCAAGACCGCGCGCGAUUGGAGCGGCCGAUAUCAGAUUAGGUAGUUGGUGGGGUAAAGGCCCACCAAGCCAACGAUCUGUAGCUGGUCUGAGAGGACGACCAGCCACACUGGAACUGAGACACGGUCCAGACUCCUACGGGAGGCAGCAGUGGGGAAUUUUGGACAAUGGGCGAAAGCCUGAUCCAGCCAUUCCGCGUGCAGGAUGAAGGCCCUCGGGUUGUAAACUGCUUUUGUACAGAACGAAAAGGUUUCUACUAAUACUAGGAGCUCAUGACGGUACUGUAAGAAUGAGCACCGGCUAACUACGUGCCAGCCGCCGCCGUAA
Molecule: ribosomal RNA, 500 nt
Filed under: uncultured bacterium
Lineage: Bacteria
Description: partial 16S ribosomal RNA
Rfam family: Bacterial small subunit ribosomal RNA
Source: RNAcentral